RNAcentral lists this RNase P RNA (396 nucleotides) under Hyphomicrobium nitrativorans NL23. Its description in RNAcentral is "Hyphomicrobium sp. NL23 Bacterial RNase P class A". It matches the Rfam family "Bacterial RNase P class A". Rfam says of the family: Ribonuclease P (RNase P) is a ubiquitous endoribonuclease, found in archaea, bacteria and eukarya as well as chloroplasts and mitochondria. Its best characterised activity is the generation of mature 5'-ends of tRNAs by cleaving the 5'-leader elements of precursor-tRNAs. Cellular RNase Ps are ribonucleoproteins. The record is from Rfam by way of RNAcentral. Lineage: Bacteria; Pseudomonadati; Pseudomonadota; Alphaproteobacteria; Hyphomicrobiales; Hyphomicrobiaceae.
UCAGCCGGCUGGACGGUCGCUGCCGCCUAACGGCGGUGGAGGAAAGUCCGGGCUCCAUGGAGACAGGGUGGCGGCUAACGGCCGCCGGGGGCGACCCCAGGGAAAGUGCCACAGAAAACAAACCGCCAACGCCGGGCCUCGGCCCAGCGCGGCAAGGGUGAAAAGGUGCGGUAAGAGCGCACCGCGCGACUGGUAACAGGAGCGGCAUGGCAAACCCCACCCGGAGCAAGACCAAAUAGGGGUGGCCGCGUGCGGGGAAACCCGGCACGGAGGCGCGUCUUCACGCCAGUCACCCGGGUUGGUUGCUUGAGGCGUCCAGCGAUGGACGUCCCAGAUGAAUGGCCGUCGCGGAGGGAAACCUCCUGACAGAACCCGGCUUACAGGCCGGCUGACAAA